CAACUCAACAGCUCCCCUUCGGCCGCCAUCUUAGAGCGCCUCGUAGGGAAAGGACCCGCCGCUUCAUCGUCUCGCUGCCGGGCGGGCUGGCCCUCAUGGCGUUGGCCAAUCAGCGUGGCGGCGCGCGGGAGCUGAUGCUGUGAUCCAGCCAAUGGCUGCACGGCUCGAGCGGCUGCUGGAGGCGCUGCGGGUGGCCAUCUUGUGGUGGGCUGCAGCAUGGCGGCGAAGGCGUGCAGGGGGGUUCGAGGCAUUCGGUCGUGUUCGCCCCGCUUUGUUCGCCUUUACCUUGGGGUGACGAAGUCUGUCUGAGGCCUUUCAGCACCGACUCUCACUCUUUGCUAAGACAUGGGCAGAAAGGUUUUUAUCUCCCAUUGGUGUCACCCAGAGCCCAGUCAUGGAGGUUGCCCUAGAAGGAAUAAUCUUACUUCACAGCUCAGCCACCAAUACUUAGAAGAACUGCUGAGAAAAAAGCCUGUGCAGAACUUCUCAUGUAGUACCGAGAAACAAGUUAAACCGGGGUUUAGCAGAGCUUACCAUCUCGAGACAUCCCCACAGCAAGGCAUUUCUGUAAUCGACAGUGUUGGCAGCGGUUUCUACUGGUUCGGUCAAUCAAACAGUUCUUCUGACGAGGACAGGAGUAUGUAGCAUUGCUUUGCUGACUCCUUCUGAAAAAGCCCUGUGAUUGCAUUGCAAAAUACAAGUCAAGAAGCUGUUAACUAAUGGAGUGAAUAAAAACUCUGAGAGGUAGCAUACCUAACUGAAAAUGAA
This 768-nucleotide long non-coding RNA is filed under the name Gallus gallus (chicken). RNAcentral's name for it is "long non-coding RNA NONGGAT001549". Lineage: Eukaryota; Metazoa; Chordata; Aves; Galliformes; Phasianidae. The record is from RNAcentral.